UUUGAGACUUUGGCCAUGGCC
This 21-nucleotide microRNA is filed under the name Triticum aestivum (bread wheat). RNAcentral describes it as "tae-miR9653a-3p". The record is from miRBase by way of RNAcentral. Lineage: Eukaryota; Viridiplantae; Streptophyta; Magnoliopsida; Poales; Poaceae.